RNAcentral lists this ribosomal RNA (512 nucleotides) under Staphylococcus aureus. Its description in RNAcentral is "bacterial SSU rRNA". It matches the Rfam family "Bacterial small subunit ribosomal RNA", at positions 119 to 618 of the family's 1533-position model. Lineage: Bacteria; Bacillati; Bacillota; Bacilli; Caryophanales; Staphylococcaceae. The record is from RNAcentral.
GGAUAACCUACCUAUAAGACUGGGAUAACUUCGGGAAACCGGAGCUAAUACCGGAUAAUAUUUUGAACCGCAUGGUUCAAAAGUGAAAGACGGUCUUGCUGUCACUUAUAGAUGGAUCCGCGCUGCAUUAGCUAGUUGGUAAGGUAACGGCUUACCAAGGCAACGAUGCAUAGCCGACCUGAGAGGGUGAUCGGCCACACUGGAACUGAGACACGGUCCAGACUCCUACGGGAGGCAGCAGUAGGGAAUCUUCCGCAAUGGGCGAAAGCCUGACGGAGCAACGCCGCGUGAGUGAUGAAGGUCUUCGGAUCGUAAAACUCUGUUAUUAGGGAAGAACAUAUGUGUAAGUAACUGUGCACAUCUUGACGGUACCUAAUCAGAAAGCCACGGCUAACUACGUGCCAGCAGCCGCGGUAAUACGUAGGUGGCAAGCGUUAUCCGGAAUUAUUGGGCGUAAAGCGCGCGUAGGCGGUUUUUUAAGUCUGAUGUGAAACCCCACGGCUCAACCGUGG